CCUAUCCUCAGACUUCUGAUCGCAGACUGAUUCCCAAACAACUGACCGUGGCUAAGGAGGAGCACACAAUGACAGCAGUGAGAACAAGAUGAUGACAUUAUGCACUGUAUGUGACUAUCUGGAAUAUUUUCUACAACGCCAAUGUGAGUAGUGGGAUGAGGGAUCCAAGACCUCACAGUCUGAUUCGCCCUUACCGGACAUGGCAUCUACACAGCAUAGAAAAUAAAACUUUUCACUAUCCAUUUUCAUUU
Carassius carassius (crucian carp) is the source of this 251-nucleotide long non-coding RNA. RefSeq lists it as uncharacterized. The transcript is spliced from 2 exons. NCBI's taxonomy places the organism in Eukaryota, Metazoa, Chordata, Actinopteri, Cypriniformes, Cyprinidae. The record is from RefSeq and is a predicted model, not a curated record.